CGGGCUAAACCCGCGUACAUGCCACCGGGGCAUCCCGGAGGCAGGAAAGGCUUCGGCCGGACAGGGAUGGGCAUGCGGCGCAUUAGGCAGUAGGCGGGGUAACGGCCCACCUAACCGACGAUGCGUAGGGGUUCUGAGAGGAAGGUCCCCCACACUGGUACUGAGACACGGACCAGACUCCUACGGGAGGCAGCAGUGAGGAAUAUUGGUCAAUGGUCGGGAGACUGAACCAGCCAAGCCGCGUGAGGGAUGAAGGUACAGAGUAUCGUAAACCUCUUUUGUCAGGGAACAAAGGCGGGGACGUGUCCCCGGAUGAGUGUACCUGAAGAAAAAGCAUCGGCUAACUCCGUGCCAGCAGCCGCGGUAAUACGGAGGAUGCGAGCGUUAUCCGGAUUUAUUGGGUUUAAAGGGUGCGCAGGCGGUCUGUUAAGUCAGCGGUCAAAGCCCGGGGCUCAACCCCGGCCCGCCGUUGAAACUGGCAGUCUCGAGUUGGAGAGAAGUAUGCGGAAUGCGCGGUGUAGCGGUGAAAUGCAUAGAUAUCGCGCAGAACUCCGAUUGCGAAGGCAGCAUGCCGGCUCCACACUGACGCUGAGGCACGAAGGCGUGGGUAUCGAACAGGAUUAGAUACCCUGGUAGUCCACGCAGUAAACGA
This 652-nucleotide ribosomal RNA is filed under the name uncultured bacterium. RNAcentral's name for it is "bacterial SSU rRNA". It matches the Rfam family "Bacterial small subunit ribosomal RNA", at positions 159 to 809 of the family's 1533-position model. The record is from RNAcentral.